UUGUGCCAGCAGCCGCGGUAAUACGAAGGGGGCUAGCGUUGCUCGGAAUCACUGGGCGUAAAGGGCGCGUAGGCGGCCAUUUAAGUCGGGGGUGAAAGCCUGUGGCUCAACCACAGAAUUGCCUUCGAUACUGGGUGGCUUGAGUCCGGAAGAGGUUGGUGGAACUGCGAGUGUAGAGGUGAAAUUCGUAGAUAUUCGCAAGAACACCGGUGGCGAAGGCGGCCGACUGGUCCGGAACUGACGCUGAGGCGCGAAAGCGUGGGGAGCAAACAGGAUUAGA
This 280-nucleotide ribosomal RNA is filed under the name uncultured Hyphomicrobiales bacterium. RNAcentral describes it as "uncultured Rhizobiales bacterium partial 16S ribosomal RNA". It matches the Rfam family "Bacterial small subunit ribosomal RNA", at positions 503 to 782 of the family's 1533-position model. Lineage: Bacteria; Pseudomonadati; Pseudomonadota; Alphaproteobacteria; Hyphomicrobiales. The record is from RNAcentral.